GCUCUUGAACGAGGAAUCCCUAGUAAGCACAAGUCACUAGCUUGUGCUGAUUACGUCCCUGCCCUUUGUACACACCGCCCGCCGCUACUACCGAUUGAAUGGCUUAGUGAGGCCCUCGGAUCGAUGCUCAGAAACUGGCAACAGUUUUUGUUUGUUGAGAAGUUGGUCAAACUUGGUCAUUUAGAGGAAGUAAAAGUCGUAACAAGGUUUCCGUAGGUGAACCUGCGGAAGGAUCAUUACUAGUAUGGCGAAUCGAGCGUUAGCGAGGUUUUGCGAUCUAAUUUAUAUUUAAAACCUCACUCUUUAAAUGUAUUAUAUUGUAUUUUUGAUAAAUAAAAAAGAUCACUUUCAACAACGGAUCUCUUGGCUCUCGCAUCGAUGAAGAACGUAGCGAAGCGCGAUAAGUAGUGUGAAUUGCAGAAUUCCGUGAAUCAUCGAAUCUUUGAACGCAAAUUGCACUCUCUGGUAUUCCGGAGAGUAUGCCUGUUUGAGGGUCAAUUAAAUAAAAUCGGGCGUUUUUACUGUCCGGAAUUGGGUCGUCAUAACUUCGGUUAAGUGACCUAAAAUUUUGUAUGAUUUUUACAAACGUAUUUAAAAUAUUUUUGUACGUUUUUGUAAUAUUCAGUUUUAUUAGAUGUGGUCAUUUUUAUGGUUCACGUCUAUAAUUUCUCAUCUAUUGACCUCAAAUCAGGUAAGAAUACCCGCUGAACUUAAGCAUAUCAAUAAGCGGAGGAAAAGAAAAUAACAAUGAUUCCCUUAGUAACGGCGAGUGAAGGGGGAUAAGCUCAAAUUUUAAAUCUGCUGGGUUAUACCUAUCAGAGUUGUAAUUUGAAGAAGCGUUUUCCGCGUCUCGGUUGGUCCAAAUCCUUUGGGAUAAGGUAUCAUGGAGGGUGAGAAUCCCGUUCGGCCGAUUUUAUGACGCUCUAGAUACGCUUUCAAAGAGUCGAGUUGUUUGGGAUUGCAGCUCAAAAUGGGAGGUAAAUUUCUCCUAAGGCUAAAUAUCGGCGAGAGACCGAUAGCGAACAAGUACCGUGAGGGAAAGAUGAAAAGAACUUUGAAAAGAGAGUUAAAUAGUACGUGAAAUUGUUGAAAGGGAAACGAUUGAAGUCAGUCGUACUUACGAGAAAUCAACUCUUCGGUGCAGAUUUGUGGGCGUGCGUGAGCCUUACGGCCUCGUUGUUUGCAACGUCUGUGUUCUUGGGGUGUACUUUUUCGUGUGGUAGGUCAACGUCAGUUUUGUUCGCUAUAAAAUAACUUGAGGAAUGUAGCUUCGAUCUUGUAUUGAAGUGUUAUAGCCUUUCGUAGAUGUGGCGUCCGGGACUGAGGAUUGCAACGAAUACCUUUUUGGGCUAUCCGCCUGACCUCUGAUAGUUGCUUGGGUGUCGAAAGCUUGCUUACGAUCAUCUAAGACGACGGUCAAAAGGUUAGAACGUGAUUAUAUUCGUUAAGGAUGUUGACGUAAUGACUUCAAACGACCCGUCUUGAAACACGGACCAAGGAGUCUAACAUAUAUGCGAGUGUU
Molecule: small RNA, 1522 nt
Filed under: Dominikia compressa
Lineage: Eukaryota; Fungi; Glomeromycota; Glomeromycetes; Glomerales; Glomeraceae
Description: eukaryotic LSU rRNA
Rfam family: Eukaryotic large subunit ribosomal RNA (bases 678-1522)
Source: RNAcentral